ACGCGUGGGUAACCUGCCUUGUACUGGGGGACAACCGUUGGAAACGACUGCUAAUACCGCAUAAGCGCACAGCUUCGCAUGAAGCAGUGUGAAAAACUCCGGUGGUACAAGAUGGACCCGCGUCUGAUUAGCUGGUUGGUGAGGUAACGGCCCACCAAGGCAACGAUCAGUAGCCGGCCUGAGAGGGUGAACGGCCACAUUGGGACUGAGACACGGCCCAAACUCCUACGGGAGGCAGCAGUGGGGAAUAUUGCACAAUGGGGGAAACCCUGAUGCAGCAACGCCGCGUGAGUGAAGAAGUAUUUCGGUAUGUAAAGCUCUAUCAGCAGGAAAGAAAAUGACGGUACCUGACUAAGAAGCCCCGGCUAACUACGUGCCAGCAGCCGCGGUAAUACGUAGGGGGCAAGCGUUAUCCGGAUUUACUGGGUGUAAAGGGAGCGUAGACGGUUUUGCAAGUCUGAAGUGAAAGCCCGGGGCUUAACCCCGGGACUGCUUUGGAAACUGUAGAACUAGAGUGCAGGAGAGGUAAGUGGAAUUCCUAGUGUAGCGGUGAAAUGCGUAGAUAUUAGGAGGAACACCAGUGGCGAAGGCGGCUUACUGGACUGUAACUGACGUUGAGGCUCGAAAGCGUGGGGAGCAAACAGGAUUAGAUACCCUGGU
RNAcentral lists this ribosomal RNA (660 nucleotides) under uncultured bacterium. RNAcentral's name for it is "bacterial SSU rRNA". It matches the Rfam family "Bacterial small subunit ribosomal RNA", at positions 113 to 791 of the family's 1533-position model. The record is from RNAcentral.